GAUAUAUGCUUGAAACUUAAAGAAUUUGGCGGUAUUUUAAUCUUUUCAGAGGAACCUGUUCUAUAAUCGAUAUUCCACGUUAAAUUUUACUAAAUUAUUUGUAUACCGUUGUCGAAAAAAUAAAUUUUUUAAUAUUAAGAUUAUAAUAUAUGUCAAAUCAAGGUGCAGUUUAUAAUUUAGUAGAAAUGGGUUACAAUAAAUUUAUUUAGGAUUUAAAUGAAGGUGGAUUUGAAAGUAAAUUAAU
Molecule: ribosomal RNA, 244 nt
Filed under: Pectinoctenus pectiniceps
Lineage: Eukaryota; Metazoa; Arthropoda; Insecta; Siphonaptera; Leptopsyllidae
Description: partial 12S ribosomal RNA
Source: RNAcentral